This 459-nucleotide long non-coding RNA is filed under the name Monodelphis domestica (gray short-tailed opossum). Its description in RNAcentral is "lncRNA (ENSMODG00000044760.1)". The record is from RNAcentral. Lineage: Eukaryota; Metazoa; Chordata; Mammalia; Didelphimorphia; Didelphidae.
AAAGACUGUUAUUGUGAUGGCUGACAAGAAGAUAGGGGGAAAGAGCAAAGCCUUACUUAUGUUGGCCGUGUUUGGCAUCCAUUUUCAUGAAUGCUGGAGGAUCAGCCAUAGGACAGGGGCACGCUGGGACUGUUAUGAAGAGCGAUUUCUGCAGAAGAAAGCAGUCUGUGGGGAUGAAAUGAAAGAAUAAAAGAAAAAAAGGGGGGCCUGCCUGAGGGAAAAUAGGUGGUCUACAAACUCUGGAAAACAGAAGAGUGUCUUGUCUGAGGUAACAGCAAUCAGUCCUGCAUCAAGAUUAAAACCUGACUUCAACCCUUGACCGUUUGCUAAAAAGUUUCAUUUGGGGGAUAUCCCCUUCAGGAAUAUGAUGGGGUGAAUAUGUCAGGAUAAUGUCAUCUAACCUGAGGGUCAUAUUUUCCUGUAAAUAAAGGGUUUCCUUUAAGCUGGGACUUUUUUGCU